GCGAAGCGCCCAGCGUGUCAGGUGAGGGGUCCCUCCGGCGGCCCUGGGGAUUUGACGCCAGGCGAGGGCCCCCUGCGGUGCCAGCCCUGGGCUCAGAGGGAUGGGGCUUCAGGGGCCUGGGUGCUCCAUUUGCGGGGCUGGGCUGUGAGGGACACGGCCCCUGCGGGCAUCCCCAGCUCAGCCGAAUCUCUACCGCCCUGUGGAAGGGAUGGGGGCCUGACCUUGUGGAUUCCGGGUUUUAGGCGAUUGUGGGGAUUCUGGGGCGGUGGGGGGCGGUGCUUUCCUUGCGCUCCACGGGCGGUGGAGGAGGGGCGCGACGUGGGGGCUGGAGGACCCCCAACCAUGGGCCCACUGGACUAUGAACUGGGCGAAGGGCCUGGCCUUCAGGAUUUUAGCAGAGAGAGGGAUGGGAGGCCGCCCCGAGUCUGCAAUGUCCCCAUGCAGGAGGAGCCCUAAAUGGAAGACCUGUCAGUAAGUGGGGAGGAAUGGGGGGUUCCCCCUGUCCCCCCUCCCCAGGAGGCAGGAGGAGGACCCUGGCCCGGGGGCUCAGUUGGUUGCCUUUCCUCUGCAGAGGCCUGGCCUGGCUGCUGCCCCAGCAUGCAGAUGAAUUUCGCCCCCGGCAAACGGAAAUUCAACAAAGUCAGCUUUGUGCAAUUUGCUGACCAUGGCUCUUGGAACCCUAACUUGACCAGGCUGCGCCAGUCAGAAAGAGAAGCCUAUGAGUUCAUUGUGGACUUUCUAGAACAAGAGCAAGAACAAGUGCCCGAGUUGGACAAGCUGAAAUUCCUGAGGGCAGUGUCAAUGCUGAGUGGCGCCGUUCAUGCCCAGGCCGAUGGCACUAUGGAUGAUUUCGUCCCCAAAGCCGUCCUGGCCAAGAAAAUUGAGGUGAGAAAAACCCCUUCACCUGGUCUUUGUGGCAUGGGCACUUGGGGGACGAGGGUGGCAGGUCUCAGCCCCGGGCUGGCAUCACUCUCUGAGGCACCUGUUCCUUCCUGGCCCUUCUAGGCGUUCAUCCUGGAAGAACCCCUGGAGGUCCUGGUCGGCCCCCUGCGUCAGCAAGCCAUGCUCUGCAUUGUGGCCCUCAGGUUCCUGCUCUGCCACUUCUGCUGGGCCCCGGGUCUCUGCUGCCCGGAGCAUCUGGGGUGGGAGGAGGGCACAGCCGGGGACCUGAGGUGGGGGCUGUGGGCGGCAG
RNAcentral lists this long non-coding RNA (1192 nucleotides) under Sus scrofa (pig). RNAcentral describes it as "lncRNA (ENSSSCG00050022412.1)". Lineage: Eukaryota; Metazoa; Chordata; Mammalia; Artiodactyla; Suidae. The record is from RNAcentral.